Molecule: ribosomal RNA, 253 nt
Filed under: uncultured bacterium
Lineage: Bacteria
Description: partial 16S ribosomal RNA
Rfam family: Bacterial small subunit ribosomal RNA
Source: RNAcentral
UACGGAGGGUGCAAACGUUGCUCGGAAUCAUUGGGCGUAAAGCGCACGUAGGCGGCUCGUUAAGUCGGAUGUGAAAGCCCCGGGCUCAACCCGGGAAGUGCAUUCGAAACUGGCGAGCUUGAAUAUGGAAGAGGGUCGCGGAAUUCCCGGUGUAGAGGCGAAAUUCGUAGAUAUCGGGAGGAACACCGAUGGCGAAGGCAGGUCUCUGGGCCACUACUGACGCUGAGAAGCGAAAGCAUGGGGAGCGAACAGG